GCUUCCAUAGCUCAGUUGGUUAGAGCGUGAGGCUGUUAACCUCAAGGUCGGGAGUUCGAGCCUCCCUGGGAGCG
This is a transfer RNA of 74 nucleotides. It matches the Rfam family "tRNA". From Rfam's summary of the family: Transfer RNA (tRNA) molecules are approximately 80 nucleotides in length. Their secondary structure includes four short double-helical elements and three loops (D, anti-codon, and T loops). The record is from Rfam.